GGGGCUGAUUCUGGAUUCGACGGGAUUUGCGAAACCCAAGGUGCAUGCCGAGGGGCGGUUGGCCUCGUAAAAAGCCGCAAAAAAUAGUCGCAAACGACGAAAACUACGCUUUAGCAGCUUAAUAACCUGCUUAGAGCCCUCUCUCCCUAGCCUCCGCUCUUAGGACGGGGAUCAAGAGAGGUCAAACCCAAAAGAGAUCGCGUGGAAGCCCUGCCUGGGGUUGAAGCGUUAAAACUUAAUCAGGCUAGUUUGUUAGUGGCGUGUCCGUCCGCAGCUGGCAAGCGAAUGUAAAGACAUGACUAAGCAUGUAGUACCGAGGAUGUAGGAAUUUCGGACGCGGGUUCAACUCCCGCCAGCUCCACCA
RNAcentral lists this transfer-messenger RNA (364 nucleotides) under Escherichia coli. It matches the Rfam family "transfer-messenger RNA". Rfam says of the family: Bacterial tmRNA, also known as 10Sa RNA or SsrA, is named for its dual tRNA and mRNA-like properties. Its role is to liberate the mRNA from a stalled ribosome. RNAcentral also lists the same sequence under 1 other name. Lineage: Bacteria; Pseudomonadati; Pseudomonadota; Gammaproteobacteria; Enterobacterales; Enterobacteriaceae. The record is from RNAcentral.